GUGGAUACAGCUCAGUAGUAGAGCUUGCACUUAGCAUGCAUGAGGUCGUGGGUUCAAUCCCCGUUGUCUCCA
This 72-nucleotide transfer RNA is filed under the name Camelus bactrianus (Bactrian camel). It matches the Rfam family "tRNA". From Rfam's summary of the family: Transfer RNA (tRNA) molecules are approximately 80 nucleotides in length. RNAcentral also lists the same sequence under 2 other names. Lineage: Eukaryota; Metazoa; Chordata; Mammalia; Artiodactyla; Camelidae. The record is from Rfam by way of RNAcentral.